GCAGCCGCGGUAAUACGUAGGUGGCAAGCGUUGUCCGGAUUUACUGGGUGUAAAGGGCGUGUAGGCGGGAUUGUAGGUCAGAUGUGAAAUACCCGGGCUCAACCCGGGGGCUGCAUUUGAAACCACAGUUCUUGAGUGCUGGAGAGGGAAGCGGAAUUCCUAGUGUAGCGGUGAAAUGCGUAGAUAUUAGGAGGAACACCAGUGGCGAAGGCGGCUUUCUGGACAGUAACUGACGCUGAGGCGCGAAAGCGUGGGGAGCAAACAGGAUUAGAUACCCC
This 278-nucleotide ribosomal RNA is filed under the name uncultured Methanosphaera sp. RNAcentral describes it as "partial 16S ribosomal RNA". It matches the Rfam family "Bacterial small subunit ribosomal RNA", at positions 511 to 788 of the family's 1533-position model. The record is from RNAcentral. Lineage: Archaea; Methanobacteriati; Methanobacteriota; Methanobacteria; Methanobacteriales; Methanobacteriaceae.